UGGGGAAUAUUGGACAAUGGGCGAAAGCCUGAUCCAGCCAUGCCGCGUGUGUGAAGAAGGUCUUCGGAUUGUAAAGCACUUUAAGUUGGGAGGAAGGGCAUUAACCUAAUACGUUAGUGUUUUGACGUUACCGACAGAAUAAGCACCGGCUAACUCUGUGCCAGCAGCCGCGGUAAUACAGAGGGUGCAAGCGUUAAUCGGAAUUACUGGGCGUAAAGCGCGCGUAGGUGGUUUGGUAAGUUGGAUGUGAAAGCCCCGGGCUCAACCUGGGAACUGCAUCCAAAACUGGCAAGCUAGAGUACGGUAGAGGGUGGUGGAAUUUCCUGUGUAGCGGUGAAAUGCGUAGAUAUAGGAAGGAACACCAGUGGCGAAGGCGACCACCUGGACUGAUACUGACACUGAGGUGCGAAAGCGUGGGGAGCAAACA
RNAcentral lists this ribosomal RNA (427 nucleotides) under uncultured bacterium. Its description in RNAcentral is "partial 16S ribosomal RNA". It matches the Rfam family "Bacterial small subunit ribosomal RNA", at positions 355 to 774 of the family's 1533-position model. The record is from RNAcentral.